This is a long non-coding RNA of Podarcis raffonei (Aeolian wall lizard), 798 nucleotides long. RefSeq lists it as uncharacterized. The record is from RefSeq and is a predicted model, not a curated record. Lineage: Eukaryota; Metazoa; Chordata; Lepidosauria; Squamata; Lacertidae. The transcript has 5 exons.
AUCUAAGUCUUGCAGCUGUUUCAGGAACCCUCGGUUUGGGGAGAUGGCUCGAUUCUGCAGGACCUUUCUGACGGCGUCAGCCAGGGAGAAAUUCUGACAGAUCAUGAGCUGUCCAUCACAUGCUCCAACUCUUGGACGGAGGGUGAGGCGGAUCUGCGGCUGUUCAUUUUGCAGAAGGAGGCGGUCGUCUUUGGAAAUGGAUCAUCCGCUGUCAUGCAAUGAUACAUGGUCAUUGCAGAGCCCUAAUGAGCUCCAGUUACCUUUUGACGUUUGACAGGGAGAAGCAGUUGCUUCAGAAACCCUCGGUUGGGGAAAAUCCACCGACGUUCUUUCACUGCCUGAAUGGCUUUAACCAAAGAGAAGCGAUGGUAGAUCAUGAGAUAUGCCAGCACCAACGAAGAUGACCUGCUUAUCCCCACUGCACAGUGCACUAAGAUUUUGCCUGAAAAUGAAGUAAACCACAUUUUUUUAUCAUCUUAAAAGAUGGCAUUUUUAAACUACAGAGAAGACAGAAUUCAACCAUUUCUGAAACAGUUCAUGGUUCCUGACCUUUGACAGAAACACUGUCAUCCCGGCCUGGAUACCAUCAGCUUGAGAAUGCUCGCUGGGCUUGCUUACUCCCAAAACGUCUGUGGGCUCAGCCUCACCAGAACUGGACAGAUCUAUAAAGACAUGGCUUUACGCUGGAGUUAAAGUUGCUUCAGAAACCCUUGAUUGGGGAAAAUCCACCGAUGUUCUUUCACUGCCUGAAUGGCUUUAACCAAAGAGAAGCGAUGGUAAAUCAUGAGGUAUGCUAGC